UGCCACUAGGAGAUGCAAGCAUCACUGUGUUGCCAAAACAGAAAGUGCUAAAAAGUACACUCGUCUUCUUCAAUGGACGGCUUUGUUAUAAAGCCAGCUACAUGCACACCUCAGCAAGCCAAUGUCCUGACUGAGUCCAUUCUGAAGAUGCUGGUGACRGACAUGAGACCACUAUCCAUGGUAGACGAUGAAGGAUUUAAAGACAUGAUUAAACAGUUCAACCCGGAUUAUCAUGACAACUACCUACCAGGCAGAUCUCACUUCACCACACUGAUGGAGAAGAAAUAUUGUGCAACUUUUGAAAAGGUAAAGGAGACUCUCAGGGGUGUCGAAGGUUCCCCCACGCUGACUGCUGAUGUGGGGGCCAGUCGUGCAACAGAGGCUUACCUUGGUGUGUCUUGCCAUUUCCUGAGCUAAGAUUGGAAGAUGAAGGCCUUAAAUCUUUCUACCAUGCCUCUUGAGGAGAGGCAUACAGGUGCAAAUAUAAUGACAUGGACUGAAGAGGUUUUAACAAAGUUUGAAAUCUUGCCGACCAAAAUAAAAGCAGUGGUGCAUGACAGUGGUUCCAAUAUGGUGGCAGCAAUGCGACUGCUUGAAGAGAAAUAUGGAUGGGCCUCUAUUCGCUGUGCUGGGCACACACUCCAGCUUAUAGUCAACACUGCUCUCAAAGAAACCACCAUCAGCAGAGCACUAGGUGCUGCUAGGCAGCUAGUGGAGUACUUUAAAAGAAGUAAGCUGGCUAGUACAAAGCUAAAGAUGAAACAGGAGCAAAUGAUUG
This is a long non-coding RNA of Austrofundulus limnaeus, 778 nucleotides long. RefSeq lists it as uncharacterized. The transcript has 3 exons. The record is from RefSeq and is a predicted model, not a curated record. Lineage: Eukaryota; Metazoa; Chordata; Actinopteri; Cyprinodontiformes; Rivulidae.